Molecule: unclassified non-coding RNA, 272 nt
Filed under: plant metagenome
Description: partial contains small subunit ribosomal RNA, internal transcribed spacer 1, and 5.8S ribosomal RNA
Source: RNAcentral
UUUCCGUAGGUGAACCUGCGGAAGGAUCAUUAAUGAGUUGUCAUGGGGUUCGAUGCUGGCAGCCAGUUUUUGGAUGCAUGUGCUUGCCCUAACAAUCAUCUUCUUCCAAACACCUGUGCACAUUUUUGAGGGAGCCUUGAGUUGGUUGCCGCUCUUGGGUGAUUUUCUCACAUUCCCUUAAAUCAUUAUACGCUAUUAACAAUGUUGAACGUGCUCUGUGCCGCAAGGCCAUUAAUAUAAUACAACUUUUAACAACGGAUCUCUUGGCUCUC